CCGGAGAGUUGAGAAGAGCAGCUCCCACCACUUCAGCUUCAACACAAACCAUGUUCCCUGGAUCGCUGCUGCUGCUGCUGCUGGCAGCUGUAUCCUGUGUUCAGUGUGAAGAACUCACUCAGCCAGCCUUUAUGACUGUCCAGUCAGGUCAACUACUGACCAUCUCCUGUAAGGUCUCAUAUUCUGUUACUAGUGUUGCUACAUUCUGGAUUCGACAGCCUGCAGGGAAAACAUUGGAGUGGAUUGGAUAUAUUAAUAGUGGUGGAAGCACAGCUUAUAAAGAUUCACUGAAAAACAA
This is a non-coding RNA of Salmo salar (Atlantic salmon), 298 nucleotides long. NCBI's taxonomy places the organism in Eukaryota, Metazoa, Chordata, Actinopteri, Salmoniformes, Salmonidae. The record is from RefSeq and is a predicted model, not a curated record.